RNAcentral lists this ribosomal RNA (406 nucleotides) under uncultured bacterium. RNAcentral describes it as "partial 16S ribosomal RNA". It matches the Rfam family "Bacterial small subunit ribosomal RNA", at positions 30 to 526 of the family's 1533-position model. The record is from RNAcentral.
AUUGAACGCUGGCGGCAGGCCUAACACAUGCAAGUCGAACGAGUGGCGGACGGGUGAGUAAUGUCUGGGAAACUGCCUGAUGGAGGGGGAUAACUACUGGAAACGGUAGCUAAUACCGCAUACCAUCAGAUGUGCCCAGAUGGGAUUAGCUUGUUGGUGGGGUAACGGCUCACCAAGGCGACGAUCCCUAGCUGGUCGGAGAGGAUGACCGGCAAAACUGGAACUGGGAAACGUUCCAGACUCCUACGGGAGGAAGCAGUGGGGAAUAUUGCAAAAUGGGGGCAAGCCGGAUGCAGCAAUGCCGCGUGUAUGAAGAAGGCCUUCGGGUUGUAAAGUAUGUUCAGCGGGGAGGCGUUACCCGCAGAAGAAGCACCGGCUAACUCCGUGCCAGCAGCCGCGGUAAUAC